ACGAGCCGAGCCGUGGAUCGGGUCCGUCACGAGAACCUGACCCAAAGAUCAAAAACGUAAUCGCCAUCUGCUGCGUAGACGCGCGCCGUCUGCUGCAGGCCCAGCCAGCGGCCAACCGUGUCCUGACGGAACCCAGCACUCAAACAGACACAAUUCCUUUUUCCUAAUUUACAGAAUACUGUAUCUUUUUGCCUUGCCUUAUCCUGUUCCACACUCCAUAGCCACUCCUUGUACAGCUCCGUGAAAGAGGAUUCCGACGAGGUGAGGUCCGCCGCUCGGCGCCGUAGCUGGCGGCCAGACGGGAGCUGUCGCGGCUAGCGCCGCCCGCCUCCGGCCUGCUGCGCCGCGUGGGGCAGUGGCCUUGACUGGAGGCAAGAUGGGGUCCGUGCAAGCUAAGCUAACUUCGCUCGCUUCAGCGGCGCUGCACCGCACGGGGCUGUAUCCUUGGCCGGUGGGAAGACGGGGGCCGUCGCGGCUAGCUCCGCCCGCCUCCGGCGAGUCCAAGGCUGUGGCCGACCCGCUCCCUCGUAGAAGGUGGAACCACAGCGCGUGCACCCAGUCGGCGGGCGCGACCGUGGCAGGUAGCGAGAUGCCGCCGGAGGUCGUUGGGUCACACUUGAAGAAGGCGUGAGCUCGAUGCAUCUCAACAGGCAAAGGUUAUGAAUUGGGCGUGCCCCUCCGGAUAGAGCACCCUGUGCUGGUAGAGUCACUCCUUUAGAGGAAACAAUAAGGAGAUGCGCUGAUAAACCGCCAGACAAUGUAAGAAAGCCAGAGAUUUGUAUGAGUUUUGAUUCCCUUGGAGAAGCGUACGAUUUCUAUAACUUGUAUUCUUGGGAGGUUGAAUUUGGUAUAAAAUAUGGCAAGAGCCGUUUGAACGUCGAGCGGACAAAGUGUUUGCAAGAGAUCGUCUGUGGAUGCUCGGGAAAACCAGAGCAACAGAAUAGCCGGUCUUGCCGCUGCGAGUGCCCUGCAAUGACACAGGAGGCAAGAGAAAGGAGUCCCCGACUCAGUCCGUGGAAUCAUCCGAGAAAGUGAACCCAGAGGCACCAGGAUGGACUAAGAGGUUGAGAGUUGGCCGUGCACCCCCUGAUAGACACCGUGCGUUGGCAGAGUUACUCCAUUCGAAGAAACAAUCAGGAGGUACGUUGAUAAGCCAUCAGACAAUGUGGUCAAGCCAGAAACUGGAAUGAGUUUUGACUCUCAGGGAACGUAUGAUUUCUACAAUCUUUAUUCAUGGGAGCUCGGAUUUGGUAUAAGAUAUGGCAAGAGCGAUCUGAAUGUCGAGCUGACGAAAGGUAUGCAGGAAAUUGUGUGUGGAUGCUCAGGGAGGCCUGCGCAGCAAAACAGCCGGUCUUGCCGGUGCGAAUGCCCUGCAAUGUUUUCGAGGAUGGGGCUUACUAGGUCGAGGAAAUUGAAAGGAAGAAGAAGUACAUUGCAAGACACAAAAAUGCCGACAACCGUGGGAAGUGGAGCAAGGUUGUUUAUGAGGUGACCAUGUUGGACGAUGGCGAGUGGUUCGAGUGUGAAUGCGGGCAUUUCGCUCACAUGGGAAUGCUGUGCUGCCAUGCUUUCAAGGUGAUAGAUAUGUUGGCGUGACGCAGAUACCGAAGCGACACAUCCUCAAGAGAUGGACGAAAAAUGCUAGGGACAUCCUGGCCCAGCACCUUGCUCACUUCCAAAGAGACCAAGCCAUGAACCGAUCUUUCAUCUGUCGGAGCUCGAUCCUUUAACUAGAUGCCAUGCAUGGAGCUGGUUAGGUUUGGGGAUUAAUCCGUCGUAACGUAUGCGCUCGUGCUGGGUCAGAUAAAGGAUAUAAUUGUGGAGGCAUCACCGCUAGCUGAAAAGCCCGAAACAAGAGAUGUGCUUGGCUAUGAGGAGAGACAAGCUGUUGAGGCGAAUCGCAACCACAUUGCAUUGGCGGGCACAAACGUCAACAUUUGAGGGAGAGAUGGUUGACAACGAGAACAGUGUGACCCUUUCUGGUAACUGGGUGCACUUGCUGACUGUCGGCUCCGAGCAACAAACCUGGUUCCCAUGCUCAAGUAGGGAGAAGGCAUCAUAUGAAGGACUGAGUAAAAGGACAAGGUUCUGCAGCAUCUGCAAAUUGCUAGGUCAUAAGAAGACUACCUGCCCUGAGGGAGGUGACAUGCUAAACGGCCUCGCAAACCUGCAAGCUGCAAGAAUUGUGGCAUCGCUGGACACGGUCGCACUACGUGCGCCAUGCUGCUGGGUGUUGCUGCAUCUUAAGAGUUCUGACAGUCAUGUACGAUAACUCUGAAUUUCAAAUUUGAAGGAUUUUCUAGUGUGUGAUUUCUGCAUGGACAUGACGCUUGUUCCUCCCUGAGUAUAAGCUAUGUAUGUCAAACGAUGCUGAACUAUGUGGAGUGGUAAAAUUUUGUUUCGGCACCAUUGAUGUCGCUUGAGACAAAUAUGAUUUAAAAAAAAAUUGCACUAA
Aegilops tauschii subsp. strangulata is the source of this 2455-nucleotide non-coding RNA. NCBI's taxonomy places the organism in Eukaryota, Viridiplantae, Streptophyta, Magnoliopsida, Poales, Poaceae. The record is from RefSeq and is a predicted model, not a curated record.